AACGCUAGCUACAGGCUUAACACAUGCAAGUCGAGGGGCAGCAUGGUCUUAGCUUGCUAAGGCCGAUGGCGACCGGCGCACGGGUGAGUAACGCGUAUCCAACCUGCCGUCUACUCUUGGACAGCCUUCUGAAAGGAAGAUUAAUACAAGAUGGCAUCAUGAGUCCGCAUGUUCACAUGAUUAAAGGUAUUCCGGUAGACGAUGGGGAUGCGUUCCAUUAGAUAGUAGGCGGGGUAACGGCCCACCUAGUCUUCGAUGGAUAGGGGUUCUGAGAGGAAGGUCCCCCACAUUGGAACUGAGACACGGUCCAAACUCCUACGGGAGGCAGCAGUGAGGAAUAUUGGUCAAUGGGCGAGAGCCUGAACCGGCCAAGUAGCGUGAAGGAUGACUGCCCUAUGGGUUGUAAACUUCUUUUAUAAAGGAAUAAAGUCGGGUAUGGAUACCCGUUUGCAUGUACUUUAUGAAUAAGGAUCGGCUAACUCCGUGCCAGCAGCCGCGGUAAUACGGAGGAUCCGAGCGUUAUCCGGAUUUAUUGGGUUUAAAGGGAGCGUAGAUGGAUGUUUAAGUCAGUUGUGAAAGUUUGCGGCUCAACCGUAAAAUUGCAGUUGAUACUGGAUAUCUUGAGUGCAGUUGAGGCAGGCGGAAUUGCGUGGUGUAGCGGUGAAWUGCUUAGAUAUCACGAAGAACUCCGAUUG
This 695-nucleotide ribosomal RNA is filed under the name uncultured Bacteroidales bacterium. RNAcentral's name for it is "bacterial SSU rRNA". It matches the Rfam family "Bacterial small subunit ribosomal RNA", at positions 32 to 715 of the family's 1533-position model. Lineage: Bacteria; Pseudomonadati; Bacteroidota; Bacteroidia; Bacteroidales. The record is from RNAcentral.